UGGGUUGUUCCUUCAUACUCUUCUUUUCAUACUUAAUUCAUUCAAUUUCAGUAGCUGGCUUUCCAUCAAUGACAUUGACUUUCUUGUUGAAGUUGGAUGUUGUGUUUCUUGAAUUAUGAUAAGAAAAGGGAGAAUUACACGACUUAUAAUUUGUGGCAUUGGGCAAAUCACCUUGUUGAAACUUCAAAGUCAUUGUAACAUUAGAGGCAGC
RNAcentral lists this long non-coding RNA (211 nucleotides) under Cicer arietinum (chickpea). Its description in RNAcentral is "long non-coding RNA (CARI_LNC003390)". Lineage: Eukaryota; Viridiplantae; Streptophyta; Magnoliopsida; Fabales; Fabaceae. The record is from RNAcentral.